This 253-nucleotide ribosomal RNA is filed under the name uncultured bacterium. Its description in RNAcentral is "partial 16S ribosomal RNA". It matches the Rfam family "Bacterial small subunit ribosomal RNA", at positions 524 to 776 of the family's 1533-position model. The record is from RNAcentral.
UACGUAGGGAGCAAGCGUUGUUCGGAUUUACUGGGCGUAAAGAGCUCGUAGGCGGUUUGUCGCGUCGAAUGUGAAAACCCGGGGCUCAACCCCGGGCCUGCAUUCGAUACGGGCAGACUAGAGUUCGGUAGGGGAGUCUGGAAUUCCUGGUGUAGCGGUGAAAUGCGCAGAUAUCAGGAGGAACACCGGUGGCGAAGGCGGGACUCUGGGCCGAUACUGACGCUGAGGAGCGAAAGCGUGGGGAGCAAACAGG